Molecule: non-coding RNA, 98 nt
Organism: Podospora conica
Lineage: Eukaryota; Fungi; Ascomycota; Sordariomycetes; Sordariales; Podosporaceae
Source: the annotation of a GenBank genome assembly
GGUCGUGUGGCUCAGUGGUUAAGGCAUCUGCUUUACAGAGACUCACACGAGUCAUUCAAAGACGCAGAGGAUCGCAGGUUCGAUCCCUGCCACGAUCA